Molecule: ribosomal RNA, 253 nt
Filed under: uncultured bacterium
Lineage: Bacteria
Description: partial 16S ribosomal RNA
Rfam family: Bacterial small subunit ribosomal RNA
Source: RNAcentral
UACAGAGGUCUCAAGCGUUGUUCGGAUUCAUUGGGCGUAAAGGGCGUGUAGGCGGCGCGGUAAGUCGGGUGUGAAAUCUCGGAGCUUAACUCCGAAACUGCAUUCGAUACUGCCGUGCUUGAGGACUGGAGAGGAGACUGGAAUUUACGGUGUAGCGGUGAAAUGCGUAGAUAUCGUAAGGAAGACCAGUGGCGAAGGCGGGUCUCUGGACAGUUACUGACGCUGAGGCACGAAGGUCAGGGGAGCAAACGGG